GAUGAAGAACGCAGCGAAAUGCGAUAAGUAAUGUGAAUUGCAGAAUUCAGUGAAUCAUCGAAUCUUUGAACGCACAUUGCGCCCGUCAGUAUUCUGGCGGGCAUGCCUGUUCGAGCGUCAUUACGCCCCUCAAGUCCCCUGUGGACUUGGUGUUGGGGAUCGGCGAGGCUGGUUUUCCAGCACAGCCGUCCCUUAAAUUAAUUGGCGGUCUCGCCGUGGCCCUCCUCUGCGCAGUAGUAAAACACUCGCAACAGGAGCCCGGCGCGGUCCACUGCCGUAAAACCCCCCAACUUUUUAUAGUUGACCUCGAAUUAGGUAGGACUACCCGCUGAACUUAAGCAUAUCAUAAGCGGAGGA
Molecule: unclassified non-coding RNA, 357 nt
Filed under: soil metagenome
Description: partial contains 5.8S ribosomal RNA, internal transcribed spacer 2, and large subunit ribosomal RNA
Rfam family: 5.8S ribosomal RNA (bases 1-120)
Source: RNAcentral